Molecule: ribosomal RNA, 325 nt
Filed under: uncultured Lactobacillus sp.
Lineage: Bacteria; Bacillati; Bacillota; Bacilli; Lactobacillales; Lactobacillaceae
Description: bacterial SSU rRNA
Rfam family: Bacterial small subunit ribosomal RNA
Source: RNAcentral
GUGCCUAUACAUGCAAGUCGAACGCGUUGGCCCAAUUGAUUGAUGGUGCUUGCACCUGAUUGAUUUUGGUCGCCAACGAGUGGCGGACGGGUGAGUAACACGUAGGUAACCUGCCCAGAAGCGGGGGACAACAUUUGGAAACAGAUGCUAAUACCGCAUAACAACGUUGUUCGCAUGAACAACGCUUAAAAGAUGGCUUCUCGCUAUCACUUCUGGAUGGACCUGCGGUGCAUUAGCUUGUUGGUGGGGUAAUGGCCUACCAAGGCGAUGAUGCAUAGCCGAGUUGAGAGACUGAUCGGCCACAAUGGGACUGAGACACGGCCCA